GGGCGGUUAGUUCAGUUGGUUAGAACGUGUGACUUACAUUCACAAGGCCAGGGGUUCGAGUCCUCUACCGCCCACCA
RNAcentral lists this transfer RNA (77 nucleotides) under Candidatus Omnitrophota bacterium. RNAcentral describes it as "Candidatus Omnitrophica bacterium tRNA-Val". It matches the Rfam family "tRNA". From Rfam's summary of the family: Transfer RNA (tRNA) molecules are approximately 80 nucleotides in length. Their secondary structure includes four short double-helical elements and three loops (D, anti-codon, and T loops). RNAcentral also lists the same sequence under 1 other name. The record is from RNAcentral. Lineage: Bacteria; Pseudomonadati; Candidatus Omnitrophota.